Long non-coding RNA from Melitaea cinxia (Glanville fritillary), 420 nucleotides. RefSeq lists it as uncharacterized. Lineage: Eukaryota; Metazoa; Arthropoda; Insecta; Lepidoptera; Nymphalidae. The record is from RefSeq and is a predicted model, not a curated record. The transcript is spliced from 2 exons.
AAGCUCGUGGACCAGACCAGAACGACGCGGCUGCCGGCAACUGGCUGCUAAUCAACUCACCUAGCGCGACGAAACUGUACAGUAGUCUGUAGUGCGGGAAGAGGAGCCGAGGGGGAGGACGGAGUGAAACAAAACUACGUCCGCACCUGCACAACGUAAUAACUGCGAGCAAAUCCGUUUGCUAGUUCCCGUCAAAGAGUAAAUUAGUUCACAACUGCAGAUUGCUUCUGCUUUCCCGUCUUUAUUUUAAAUUAAGAUUUUAUGUAAUGCUAUAUUUUAAAGUAAAUAUUUGUAUUUACUUUAAGUAAUGUAUAUUACUUUAUAUUUACUAAACUUAAAGUUUGAUUUGCUUAUGUUUUUUGUGUUACUGUUCAUAAUGUAAUGAUAUUAUAAAUUAGUCAAUAAUAUGAACAAUCAAAA